CCUACGGGAGGCAGCAGUAAGGAAUCUUCCACAAUGGACGAAAGUCUGAUGGAGCAACGCCGCGUGCAGGAUGAAGGCUUUCGGGUCGUAAACUGCUUUUAUAUGGGAAGAUUAUGACGGUACCAUAUGAAUAAGGACCGGCUAACUACGUGCCAGCAGCCGCGGUAAUACGUAGGGUCCAAGCGAUAUCCGGAAUUACUGGGCGUAAAGCGUGUGUAGGUGGAUUAAUAAGUGUGAUGCGAAAUCCGGCGGCUCAACCGUUUGGACUGUGUCGCAUACUGUUAGUCUAGAGGACGGCAGAGGUAAGUGGAAUUACGGGUGUAGCAGUGAAAUGCGUAGAUAUCCGUAGGAACACCAAUGGCGAAGGCAGCUUACUGGGCCACACCUGACACUGAGACACGAAAGCGUGGGGAGCGAACAGGAUUAGAUACCCUGGUAGUCCACGCCGUAAACGAUGCAUACUAUUAGUAUGGGGUAUCGACCCCCUGUGCUGAGAAGCUAACGCGAUAAGUAUGCCGCCUGGGGAGUACGAGCGCAAGCUUAAAACUUAAGGAAUUGACGGNNGAGACGNGCGAGACGACGACGAGGGAGAG
This 593-nucleotide ribosomal RNA is filed under the name uncultured bacterium. Its description in RNAcentral is "bacterial SSU rRNA". It matches the Rfam family "Bacterial small subunit ribosomal RNA", at positions 338 to 946 of the family's 1533-position model. The record is from RNAcentral.